GAUUUCUGGCUUGACGCGCUUGGCCCGCCUCGGUUACGAGUGUGAGUGCUGAUGCGCGUCUGCCAUCCUUCCAGAAAACGGUGUCUCCCUUCAUUGGGUUGGCAUCGCGAUCUGGAUCUAUUACUUUGAAAAAAUUAGAGUGUUUAAAGCAGGCGUUUGCUGUGAAUACAUUAGCAUGGAAUAAUAAUUUAGGACUUUGGUCUUAUUUUGUUGGUUUCUAAGGCUGAAGUAAUGAUUGAUAGGGAUAGUUGGGGGUGCUAGUAUUCCGUGGCCAGAGGUGAAAUUCUUGGAUUCACGGAAGACUAACUUAUGCGAAAGCAUU
Molecule: ribosomal RNA, 322 nt
Filed under: Filosa sp.
Lineage: Eukaryota; Cercozoa
Also listed under: 2 other names
Description: SSU rRNA
Rfam family: Eukaryotic small subunit ribosomal RNA (bases 66-322)
Source: RNAcentral